CGCUAAGAAGCUAAAUAUUGGAUACAGCAUUGGCCUUUUAAGCCAAAGACUGGUGAUUCCCGACCACCCUUAGUGA
Molecule: transfer RNA, 76 nt
Filed under: Cyclocheilichthys heteronema
Lineage: Eukaryota; Metazoa; Chordata; Actinopteri; Cypriniformes; Cyprinidae
Description: tRNA-Lys
Rfam family: tRNA
About the family: Transfer RNA (tRNA) molecules are approximately 80 nucleotides in length. Their secondary structure includes four short double-helical elements and three loops (D, anti-codon, and T loops). Further hydrogen bonds mediate the characteristic L-shaped molecular structure. tRNAs have two regions of fundamental functional importance: the anti-codon, which is responsible for specific mRNA codon recognition, and the 3' end, to which the tRNAs corresponding amino acid is attached (by aminoacyl-tRNA synthetases). tRNAs cope with the degeneracy of the genetic code in two manners: having more than one tRNA (with a specific anti-codon) for a particular amino acid; and 'wobble' base-pairing, i.e. permitting non-standard base-pairing at the 3rd anti-codon position.
Source: RNAcentral